RNAcentral lists this ribosomal RNA (453 nucleotides) under uncultured bacterium. RNAcentral's name for it is "bacterial SSU rRNA". It matches the Rfam family "Bacterial small subunit ribosomal RNA", at positions 340 to 784 of the family's 1533-position model. The record is from RNAcentral.
UACGGGAGGCAGCAGUGGGGAAUAUUGCACAAUGGGCGCAAGCCUGAUGCAGCCAUGCCGCGUGUAUGAAGAAGGCCUUCGGGUUGUAAAGUACUUUCAGUCGUGAGGAAGGUGUUAAGGUUAAUAACCUUAGCAAUUGACGUUAGCGACAGAAGAAGCACCGGCUAACUCCGUGCCAGCAGCCGCGGUAAUACGGAGGGUGCGAGCGUUAAUCGGAAUUACUGGGCGUAAAGGGCACGCAGGCGGUUAAUUAAGUUGGAUGUGAAAUCCCCGGGCUUAACCUGGGAAUGGCAUUCAAGCUGGUUAGCUAGAGUCUUGUAGAGGGGGUAGAAUUCCAUGUGUAGCGGUGAAAUGCGUAGAGAUGUGGAGGAAUACCGGUGGCGAAGGCGGCCCCUGGGACAAAGGACUGACGCUCAUGUGCGAAAGCGUGGGGAGCGAAACAGGGAUUAGAUA